RNAcentral lists this ribosomal RNA (433 nucleotides) under uncultured bacterium. Its description in RNAcentral is "partial 16S ribosomal RNA". It matches the Rfam family "Bacterial small subunit ribosomal RNA", at positions 29 to 507 of the family's 1533-position model. The record is from RNAcentral.
AACGAACGCUGGCGGCAGGCCUAACACAUGCAAGUCGAGCGAGGACUUCGGUUCUAGCGGCGGACGGGUGAGUAACGCGUGGGAAUGUGCCCUUCUCUACGGAAUAGCCCUGGGAAACUGGGAGUAAUACCGUAUACGCCCUAUUGGGGAAAGAUUUAUCGGGGAAGGAUCAGCCCGCGUUGGAUUAGGUAGUUGGUGGGGUAAUGGCCUACCAAGCCGACGAUCCAUAGCUGGUUUGAGAGGAUGAUCAGCCACACUGGGACUGAGACACGGCCCAGACUCCUACGGGAGGCAGCAGUGGGGAAUCUUAGACAAUGGGGGCAACCCUGAUCUAGCCAUGCCGCGUGAGUGAUGAAGGCCUUAGGGUUGUAAAGCUCUUUCAGCUGGGAAGAUAAUGACGGUACCAGCAGAAGAAGCCCCGGCUAACUCCGUG